CCCUUAGAUGUCCUGGGCCGCACGCGCGCUACACUGACAUGUUCAACAAGCCUCCUAGUUCGACAGGAUUUGGGAAAUCUUUGAACGCAUGUCGUGAUAGGGAUAGAUCAUUGCAAUUAUUGAUCUUGAACGAGGAAUUCCUAGUAAACGCGAGUCAUCAGCUCGCAUUGAUUACGUCCCUGCCCUUUGUACACACCGCCCGUCGCACCUACCGAUUGAAUGUUUCGGUGAAGAUUCCGGAUAGGACUUUUUUGAUUUAUUUCAAUUUUGUCUUAAAAGUUAUCUAAACCUCAACAUUUAGAGGAAGGUGAAGUCGUAACA
Molecule: ribosomal RNA, 321 nt
Filed under: uncultured eukaryote
Lineage: Eukaryota
Description: partial 18S ribosomal RNA
Rfam family: Eukaryotic small subunit ribosomal RNA
Source: RNAcentral